This 492-nucleotide ribosomal RNA is filed under the name uncultured bacterium. Its description in RNAcentral is "partial 16S ribosomal RNA". It matches the Rfam family "Bacterial small subunit ribosomal RNA", at positions 29 to 507 of the family's 1533-position model. The record is from RNAcentral.
AGUGAACGCUGGCGGUAGGCCUAACACAUGCAAGUCGAACGGCAGCACAGUAAGAGCUUGCUCUUACGGGUGGCGAGUGGCGGACGGGUGAGGAAUACAUCGGAAUCUACUUUUUCGUGGGGGAUAACGUAGGGAAACUUACGCUAAUACCGCAUACGACCUACGGGUGAAAGCAGGGGAUCUUCGGACCUUGCGCGAUUGAAUGAGCCGAUGUCGGAUUAGCUAGUUGGCGGGGUAAAGGCCCACCAAGGCGACGAUCCGUAGCUGGUCUGAGAGGAUGAUCAGCCACACUGGAAGUGAGACAGGGUCCAGACUCCUACGGGAGGCAGCAGUGGGGAAUAUUGGACAAUGGGCGCAAGCCUGAUCCAGCCAUACCGCGUGGGUGAAGAAGGCCUUCGGGUUGUAAAGCCCUUUUGUUGGGAAAGAAAAGCAGCAGGUUAAUACCCCGCUGUUCUGACGGUACCCAAAGAAUAAGCACCGGCUAACUUCGUG